Molecule: ribosomal RNA, 711 nt
Filed under: uncultured Bacteroidales bacterium
Lineage: Bacteria; Pseudomonadati; Bacteroidota; Bacteroidia; Bacteroidales
Description: bacterial SSU rRNA
Rfam family: Bacterial small subunit ribosomal RNA
Source: RNAcentral
CUACAGGCUUAACACAUGCAAGUCGAGGGGCAGCAUGGUCUUAGCUUGCUAAGGCUGAUGGCGACCGGCGCACGGGUGAGUAACACGUAUCCAACCUGCCGUCUACUCUUGGCCAGCCUUCUGAAAGGAAGAUUAAUCCAGGAUGGCAUCAUGAGUUCACAUGUCCGCAUGAUUAAAGGUAUUUUCCGGUAGACGAUGGGGAUGCGUUCCAUUAGAUAGUAGGCGGGGUAACGGCCCACCUAGUCAACGAUGGAUAGGGGUUCUGAGAGGAAGGUCCCCCACAUUGGAACUGAGACACGGUCCAAACUCCUACGGGAGGCAGCAGUGAGGAAUAUUGGUCAAUGGGCGAUGGCCUGAACCAGCCAAGUAGCGUGAAGGAUGACUGCCCUAUGGGUUGUAAACUUCUUUUAUAAAGGAAUAAAGUCGGGUAUGCAUACCCGUUUGCAUGUACUUUAUGAAUAAGGAUCGGCUAACUCCGUGCCAGCAGCCGCGGUAAUACGGAGGAUCCGAGCGUUAUCCGGAUUUAUUGGGUUUAAAGGGAGCGUAGAUGGAUGUUUAAGUCAGUUGUGAAAGUUUGCGGCUCAACCGUAAAAUUGCAGUUGAUACUGGAUGUCUUGAGUGCAGUUGAGGCAGGCGGAAUUCGUGGUGUAGCGGUGAAAUGCUUAGAUAUCACGAAGAACUCCGAUUGCGAAGGCAGCCUGCUAAGCUGCA